GCGGGCGUGAUGGAAUGGUAGACAUAUCGGACUUAAAAUCCGAAGGCCCUAGCGCCGUGUGGGUUCGAGUCCCACCGCCCGCACCA
RNAcentral lists this transfer RNA (86 nucleotides) under Marivita geojedonensis. RNAcentral's name for it is "tRNA-Leu". It matches the Rfam family "tRNA". Rfam says of the family: Transfer RNA (tRNA) molecules are approximately 80 nucleotides in length. Their secondary structure includes four short double-helical elements and three loops (D, anti-codon, and T loops). The record is from RNAcentral. Lineage: Bacteria; Pseudomonadati; Pseudomonadota; Alphaproteobacteria; Rhodobacterales; Roseobacteraceae. RNAcentral also lists the same sequence under 25 other names.